UUAAAGGCUUUGAAUGUGCAAAGUAGUUAUAGAUUAUUCAUUUAGAGAGAAGAUGUCCCCGGCUGAAAGCAUCUUUAUGUUACGGUUUAUGAUGAAUUUCACACAGGAGCUUCACUGUUGAAGUUUUUAGUAGGCGGUGACGGAUUGGCAGCCGUUAUUUGCAAAUUAAGUGUUUAUGUGUAGUUCACAUGAAAAUCAGGGUGGUACCGCGGCAGAAGCCGUCCCUGAC
RNAcentral lists this non-coding RNA (229 nucleotides) under Clostridium sp. RNAcentral describes it as "T-box sequence". It matches the Rfam family "T-box leader". Rfam says of the family: Uncharged tRNA acts as the effector for transcription antitermination of genes in the T-box leader family. T-boxes are found upstream of many aminoacyl-tRNA synthetase genes and some amino acid biosynthetic genes usually in Gram-positive bacteria. The anticodon of a specific tRNA base pairs to a specifier sequence within the T-box motif, and the NCCA acceptor tail of the tRNA base pairs to a conserved bulge in the T-box antiterminator hairpin. Lineage: Bacteria; Bacillati; Bacillota; Clostridia; Eubacteriales; Clostridiaceae. The record is from RNAcentral.